AACGAACGCUGGCGGCGUGCCUAAGACAUGCAAGUCGUGCGGAAAGGCUCCUUCGGGAGUACUCGAGCGGCGCACGGGUGAGUAACACGUGGGUAACCUACCUGAGGGUCUGGGAUAACUCCGGGAAACUGGGGCUAAUACCAGAUGAGACCACAGCGUCUUCGGGCGCAGCGGUCAAAGAUGGCCUCUCCUUGGAAGCUAUCGCCUACAGAUGAGCCCGCGUCCCAUUAGCUAGUUGGCGGGGUAACGGCCCACCAAGGCGACGAUGGGUAGCUGGUCUGAGAGGAUGAUCAGCCACACUGGAACUGAGACACGGUCCAGACUCCUACGGGAGGCAGCAGUCGGGAA
RNAcentral lists this ribosomal RNA (348 nucleotides) under uncultured bacterium. Its description in RNAcentral is "bacterial SSU rRNA". It matches the Rfam family "Bacterial small subunit ribosomal RNA", at positions 29 to 361 of the family's 1533-position model. The record is from RNAcentral.